CCUACGGGAGGCAGCAGUGGGGAAUAUUGGACAAUGGGGGAAACCCUGAUCCAGCGACGCCGCGUGAGUGAAGAAGUAUUUCGGUACGUAAAGCUCUAUCAGCAGGAAAGAAAAUGACGGUACCUGACUAAGAAGCCCCGGCUAACUACGUGCCAGCAGCCGCGGUAAUACGGAGGGGGCAAGCGUUAACCGGAUUUACUGGGCGUAAUGGGAGCGUAUACGGCAGUGCAAGUCUGGAGGGAAAUGCCGGGGCCCAACCCCGGAACUGCGCUGGAAACUGGGAGGCUGGAGUGCAGGAGAGGUAGGCGGAAUUCCUGGUGUAGCGGUGAAAUGCGUAGAUAUCAGGCGGAACACCGGCGGCGAAGGCGGCUUACUGGACUGUGACUGACGUUGAGGCUCGAAGGCGUGGGGAGCAAACAGGAUUAGAUACCCGGGUAGUC
RNAcentral lists this ribosomal RNA (440 nucleotides) under uncultured bacterium. RNAcentral's name for it is "partial 16S ribosomal RNA". It matches the Rfam family "Bacterial small subunit ribosomal RNA", at positions 338 to 795 of the family's 1533-position model. The record is from RNAcentral.